This 466-nucleotide ribosomal RNA is filed under the name Vreelandella stevensii. Its description in RNAcentral is "partial 16S ribosomal RNA". It matches the Rfam family "Bacterial small subunit ribosomal RNA", at positions 338 to 795 of the family's 1533-position model. The record is from RNAcentral. Lineage: Bacteria; Pseudomonadati; Pseudomonadota; Gammaproteobacteria; Oceanospirillales; Halomonadaceae.
CCUACGGGUGGCUGCAGUGGGGAAUAUUGGACAAUGGGCGAAAGCCUGAUCCAGCCAUGCCGCGUGUGUGAAGAAGGCCUUCGGGUUGUAAAGCACUUUCAGUGGGGAAGAAAGCCUUGGGGCUAAUACCCUCGAGGAAGGACAUCACCCACAGAAGAAGCACCGGCUAACUCCGUGCCAGCAGCCGCGGUAAUACGGAGGGUGCGAGCGUUAAUCGGAAUUACUGGGCGUAAAGCGCGCGUAGGCGGUCUGAUAAGCCGGUUGUGAAAGCCCCGGGCUCAACCUGGGAACCGGCAUCCGGAACUGUCAGGCUAGAGUGCAGGAGAGGAAGGUAGAAAUCCCGGUGUAGCCGUGAAAUGCGUAGAGAUCGGGAGGAAUACCAGUGGCGAAGGCGGCCUUCUGGACUGACACUGACGCUGAGGUGCGAAAGCGUGGGUAGCCAACAGGAUUAGAUACCCCAGUAGUC